GAUGAAGAACGUAGCGAAAUGCGAUAAGUAAUGUGAAUUGCAGAAUUCAGUGAAUCAUCGAAUCUUUGAACGCACAUUGCGCCCAUUAGCAUUCUAGUGGGCAUGCCUGUUCGAGCGUCAUUUCAACCCUUAAGCCCUGUUGCUUAGCGUUGGGAGCCUACAGUACUGUAGCUCCCCAAAGUUAGUGGCGGAGUCGGUUUCACACUCUAGACGUAGUAAUUUUUUCUCGUCUGUAGUUGAGCCGGUCCCCUGCCGUAAAACACCCAAUUUAUCAAGGUUGACCUCGGAUCAGGUAGGAAUGCCCGCUGAACUUAAGCAUAUCAAUAAGCGGAGGA
This 335-nucleotide unclassified non-coding RNA is filed under the name soil metagenome. Its description in RNAcentral is "partial contains 5.8S ribosomal RNA, internal transcribed spacer 2, and large subunit ribosomal RNA". The stretch from base 1 to 120 matches the Rfam family "5.8S ribosomal RNA", at positions 35 to 154 of the family's 154-position model. The record is from RNAcentral.